CAACAUGGUAACUUAAAAACCAAAACCCCUAAAAGAAAAUAUUACAAUAAAACGAUGGAGGUGGCAAGAAAAUAUUCUAUAACAGUGGCAUUUUUGUUGGCUUUUUUUAUCAUUGCAUCAGAUAUGGCUACAGAAUCACAAGCAAGAGGAGUGAAUGAGAAUACAAAUGAUCAAGCAUGUUCCAUUGAUACCGAUUGUAUAAUGAAACAUUUUCCAUGCCCAACCAACACGGUUCCAUUAUGUGUUGAUGGUUCGUGUCAAUGUCGUGGAUAGUUAUGUUUAGACGAGAAUAAUAAAUAAAACAAUUUCAACAUAUAAAAUGAUAUGGUUUUAUAUUAAAAUAAUUACAAUAUCUAUUAUAUAGAUUAUAUUUCUUUUAGAAUAAAUAAAAAAGUUUUGUUUU
Vicia villosa (hairy vetch) is the source of this 403-nucleotide long non-coding RNA. RefSeq lists it as uncharacterized. NCBI's taxonomy places the organism in Eukaryota, Viridiplantae, Streptophyta, Magnoliopsida, Fabales, Fabaceae. The record is from RefSeq and is a predicted model, not a curated record. The transcript has 2 exons.